CCAUCCCACGUUCGGAUUGCAGGCUGAAACCCGCCUGUAUGAAGUUGGAAUCGCUAGUAAUGGCAGGUCAGCAUACUGCCGUGAAUACGUUCCCGGGCCUUGUACACACCGCCCGUCACACCAUGAGAGUUGGGAAUACCCGAAGCCUGUGAGCUAACUUUUAGAGGCAGCAGUCGAAGGUAGAAUCAAUGAUUGGGGUGAAGUCGUAACAAGGUACC
Molecule: ribosomal RNA, 218 nt
Filed under: uncultured bacterium
Lineage: Bacteria
Description: partial 16S ribosomal RNA
Rfam family: Bacterial small subunit ribosomal RNA
Source: RNAcentral